GGCUUUGUUGAAGUUUUCUUUUGGGAAACAGUGAAAUGUUAUGAAAAAACGAUAAAGAUUAAGAAGAAGAUGAUUUUUAUAUGAGUAUUUUUAUUAUACGAGUUGGCAUUUACUGAUAACUUUGUUCUGUUCAUGUGGCAUUAUGGUUGAAAUUCUUCUAGCACAAACCAAUAGAAUCACAAACUGUUAUUGGAUUUGGUAUUCUGAAUGGGAUUUCGAUUGGAUUAUUGAAACUCAGCUUGGGAUUCAAUUCUGUUGGUUUCUAUUAGGUUUCUCUUUGCUAUCUACUUAAAAUGUUCAACAUUGAACUGUUUCUCACUGAUGUUUUCGAAUUGAGGAUUUAUUAUUUUACUUUAGUAGAUGAAAAAGCUGGCAAUCAUCCCACGUACAGUACUGUUGGAAACUCUUUUCCUAAACAAGAAUUUCGGGUGAGUCACCACAC
Molecule: long non-coding RNA, 442 nt
Filed under: Olea europaea subsp. europaea
Lineage: Eukaryota; Viridiplantae; Streptophyta; Magnoliopsida; Lamiales; Oleaceae
Source: RNAcentral